Molecule: ribosomal RNA, 213 nt
Filed under: uncultured bacterium
Lineage: Bacteria
Description: partial 16S ribosomal RNA
Rfam family: Bacterial small subunit ribosomal RNA
Source: RNAcentral
UCAGCUCAGAUUGUGGGCUGCAACCCGCCCACAUGAAGUUGGAGUUGCUAGUAAUCGCGGAUCAGCAUGCCGCGGUGAAUACGUUCCCGGGCCUUGUACACACCGCCCGUCACACCAUGGGAGCCGGUAAUACCCGAAGUCAGUAGUCUAACCGCAAGGAGGACGCUGCCGAAGGUAGGAUUGGCGACUGGGGUGAAGUCGUAACAAGGUAGC